ACGUACACUCCUGCGGGAGGCAGCAGUGGGGAAUUUUGGACAAUGGGCGAAAGCCUGAUCCAGCCAUGCCGCGUGCAGGAUGAAGGCCUUCGGGUUGUAAACUGCUUUUGUACGGAACGAAACGGCCUUUUCUAAUAAAGAGGGCUAAUGACGGUACCGUAAGAAUAAGCACCGGCUAACUACGUGCCAGCAGCCGCGGUAAUACGUAGGGUGCAAGCGUUAAUCGGAAUUACUGGGCGUAAAGCGUGCGCAGGCGGUUAUGUAAGACAGUUGUGAAAUCCCCGGGCUCAACCUGGGAACUGCAUCUGUGACUGCAUAGCUAGAGUACGGUAGAGGGGGAUGGAAUUCCGCGUGUAGCAGUGAAAUGCGUAGAUAUGCGGAGGAACACCGAUGGCGAAGGCAAUCCCCUGGACCUGUACUGACGCUCAUGCACGAAAGCGUGGGGAGCAAACAGGAUUAGAUACCCGGGUAGUCCCAUG
Molecule: ribosomal RNA, 479 nt
Filed under: uncultured organism
Description: partial 16S ribosomal RNA
Rfam family: Bacterial small subunit ribosomal RNA
Source: RNAcentral